UAAAAAAAUAUAUACACAUAUGCACAUACACAAUUGUGGCAACCUCUUCCAGGCACAUAAUCACAUAGGAAACCGAUUCCAGACCAUCAUCACACCUCCAUCACACAGACAGCAAAGAACUGGUGGGAUCACAAACCUGCAAAAGUAUUGGAAAAUGAGCACGCAAAGAUACUGUGGGACUUCCGAAUCCAGACUGACAAAGUUCUAGAACACAACACACCAGACAUCACAGUUGUGGAAAAGAAAAAGGUUUGGAUCAUUGAUGUCGCCAUCCCAGGUGACAGUCGCAUUGACGAAAAAUAACAGGAAAAACUCAGCCGCUAUCAGGACCUCAAGAUUGAACUUCAAAGACUCUGGCAGAAACCAGUGCAGGUGGUCCCGGUGGUGAUGGGCACACUGGGUGCCGUGCCAAAAGAUCUCAGCCGGCAUUUGGAAACAAUAGACAUUGACAAAAUUACGAUUUGCCAACUGCAAAAGGCCACCCUACUGGGAUCUGAACACAUCAUCUGAAAAUACAUCACACAGUCCUAGACACUUGGGAAGUGUUCGACUUGUGAUUUUGUGAUAUGAAAUCCAGCAUAUCUAUCUUGUUUGCUGUGUCAUCAUAAUAAUAAUAAUAAUAAUAAUAAUAAUAAUAAUAAUAAUAAUAAUAAUAAUAAUAAUUCGUUUGAAUGAAAUAAUAAAUAAGCUGCUGCUGCUUUCCCUCCUCCUCCUCCUCCUCUUUCACCCAGUUUAGGCACAUAACCAGAUGCCUGGGAUGUCAAAGAAAGCAACUUUGAAAAUGUGUAGGACCUUUUUAUAUUUGACAACAUGAAAAAGAAGCUGUGGUUGAGGUAGUUCUGUGCCCAGUGCAAUGACGGAAAACCCCAACAAACAAUCCAGUUCCAUGUAGGCAUUUCUUCUGACCUGCUAGUAGAGCUGUGAAAUGUGCAUAGGUGACACAGGUAGUGUUUACUAUGGUUACACAGUAUAUGAGAUUUGUCAUCAUUGUUGCUGGCAAUU
This 1002-nucleotide long non-coding RNA is filed under the name Anolis carolinensis (green anole). RNAcentral's name for it is "lncRNA (ENSACAG00000040843.1)". The record is from RNAcentral. Lineage: Eukaryota; Metazoa; Chordata; Lepidosauria; Squamata; Anolidae.